ACAUGCAAGUCGAGCGGUAGAGAGGUGCUUGCACCUCUUGAGAGCGGCGGACGGGUGAGUAAUGCCUAGGAAUCUGCCUGGUAGUGGGGGAUAACGCUCGGAAACGGACGCUAAUACCGCAUACGUCCUACGGGAGAAAGCAGGGGACCUUCGGGCCUUGCGCUAUCAGAUGAGCCUAGGUCGGAUUAGCUAGUUGGUGGGGUAAUGGCUCACCAAGGCGACGAUCCGUAACUGGUCUGAGAGGAUGAUCAGUCACACUGGAACUGAGACACGGUCCAGACUCCUACGGGAGGCAGCAGUGGGGAAUAUUGGACAAUGGGCGAAAGCCUGAUCCAGCCAUGCCGCGUGUGUGAAGAAGGUCUUCGGAUUGUAAAGCACUUUAAGUUGGGAGGAAGGGCAGUUACUUAAUACGUGACUGUCUUGACGUUACCGACAGAAUAAGCACCGGCUAACUCUGUGCCAGCAGCCGCGGUAAUACAGAGGGUGCAAGCGUUAAUCGGAAUUACUGGGCGUAAAGCGCGCGUAGGUGGUUCGUUAAGUUGGAUGUGAAAUCCCCGGGCUCAACCUGGGAACUGCAUUCAAAACUGUCGAGCUAGAGUAUGGUAGAGGGUGGUGGAAUUUCCUGUGUAGCGGUGAAAUGC
This 641-nucleotide ribosomal RNA is filed under the name Pseudomonas sp. EP_R_95. RNAcentral's name for it is "bacterial SSU rRNA". It matches the Rfam family "Bacterial small subunit ribosomal RNA", at positions 53 to 689 of the family's 1533-position model. Lineage: Bacteria; Pseudomonadati; Pseudomonadota; Gammaproteobacteria; Pseudomonadales; Pseudomonadaceae. The record is from RNAcentral.